Molecule: ribosomal RNA, 429 nt
Filed under: Chloroflexota bacterium
Lineage: Bacteria; Bacillati; Chloroflexota
Description: Chloroflexi bacterium partial 16S ribosomal RNA
Rfam family: Bacterial small subunit ribosomal RNA
Source: RNAcentral
UGGGGAAUAUUGCACAAUGGGCGCAAGCCUGAUGCAGCCAUGCCGCGUGUACGAAGAAGGCCUUCGGGUUGUAAAGUACUUUCAGCGGGGAGGAAGGGAGUAAAGUUAAUACCUUUGCUCAUUGACGUUACCCGCAGAAGAAGCACCGGAUAACUCCGUGCCAGCAGCCGCGGUAAUACGGAGGGUGCAAGCGUUAAUCGGAAUUACUGGGCGUAAAGCGCACGCAGGCGGUUUGUUAAGUCAGAUGUGAAAUCCCCGGGCUCAACCUGGGAACUGCAUCUGAUACUGGCAAGCUUGAGUCUCGUAGAGGGGGGUAGAAUUCCAGGUGUAGCGGUGAAAUGCGUAGAGAUCUGGAGGAAUACCGGUGGCGAAGGCGGCCCCCUGGACGAAGACUGACGCUCAGGUGCGAAAGCGUGGGGAGCAAACAGG